This 494-nucleotide ribosomal RNA is filed under the name uncultured bacterium. RNAcentral describes it as "partial 16S ribosomal RNA". It matches the Rfam family "Bacterial small subunit ribosomal RNA", at positions 28 to 507 of the family's 1533-position model. The record is from RNAcentral.
GACGAACGCUGGCGGCGUGCUUAACACAUGCAAGUCGAACGGAAAGGCCUGCUUUCCCUUGUGGAUUGCGGGUACUCGAGUGGCGAACGGGUGAGUAACACGUGAGUGAUCUGCCCCCAACUUGGGUAUAAGCCUGGGAAACUGGGUCUAAUUCCCGAUAGGACUGCAGGGUGGUGCCUGUGGUGGAAAACGAUUUUCUAGUGGUUGGGGAUGAGCUCGCGGCCUAUCAGCUUGUUGGUGGGGUAAUGGCCUACCAAGGCGGCGACGGAUAGCCGGCCUGGGAGGGUGGACGGGCACAUUGGGAACGAGGUACGGGCCAGAAUCCCACGGGGGGCAGGAGGGGGGAAUAAUGGCAAAGGGGGGGAAGCCUGAAGGAGGCACCGCGGCGGGGGGAUGGACGGCCUCGGGGUGUAAACCUCCUUUGGACGCGGGGAAGCCAACCGGGUUGAAAGGGUGUGAAGGUAGUUGGAGAAGGAGAACCGGGUAAAUACGGG